Molecule: ribosomal RNA, 652 nt
Filed under: uncultured crenarchaeote
Lineage: Archaea; Thermoproteati; Thermoproteota
Description: bacterial SSU rRNA
Rfam family: Archaeal small subunit ribosomal RNA
Source: RNAcentral
UUCCAUGGCAAACUGCUCAGUAACAAGUGAUCAACUUACCCUAUAGAGAAAAAUAACCUCGGGAAACUGAGGAUAAUAUUUCAUAGUUGAAUCGGCUUGGAAAAGUUUUUCAAUCAAAGGGAUAAGAAAAAUGGUUCUUAUCUGCUAUAGGUUAGGAUCGUGGACGAUUAUGGUUGUUGGUGAGGUAAUGGCUCACCAAGCCGAUAAUCGAUAGGGGCCGUGAGAGCGGGAGCCCCGAGAUGGGUACUGAGACAACGACCCAGGCCUUACGAGGCGCAGCAGGCGCGGAACCUCCGCAAUACACGGAAGUGUGACGGGGUUACCCAAAGUGUUCAAUUCUGAACUGUGGUGGGUGAGUAAUGUUCCCCACUAGAAAGGAGAGGGCAAGGCUGGUGCCAGCCGCCGCGGUAAAACCAGCUCUUCAAGUGGUCGGGAUAAUUAUUGGGCUUAAAGUGUCCGUAGCCGGUUUAGUUAGUUCCUGGUAAAAUCGGGUAGCUUAACUAUCGUAUGCUAGGAAUACUGCUUACUAGAGGACGGGAGAGGUCUGAGGUACUACAGGGUAGGGGUGAAUCUUAUAAUCCUUGUAGACACCAGUGGCGAAGCCUCAGACUGAACGUGCCUGACGGUGAGGACGAAAGCCAGGGAGCGAACC